This 718-nucleotide long non-coding RNA is filed under the name Capsicum annuum. RNAcentral describes it as "long non-coding RNA (CANN_LNC019601)". The record is from RNAcentral. Lineage: Eukaryota; Viridiplantae; Streptophyta; Magnoliopsida; Solanales; Solanaceae.
UCUUUUUUAUGUCUGGCUAUAUAUUUCUUUCAAAUCCUCGUGGGAGCUUGAAAGAAGAUUAAGAUGAAUAAUUUGUUAGACACCUUAUUGAAAAUUUAUUUCAAUUAUUUUUCUUUUUAUGUGGUUUUUCAUGUUAUAAUGUGAUGUUAGAUUCAUUAUGAAAAAUUUAUUUUAACUAUUUUCUUUUAUGUGUUUUUUCAUGCUCAAAGCAUUGAUGAGAUCAAUAAUUGAAACAAAAAAUAGAAAAUAUUUUAUGAUGGAGAUCAACAUAUCUAACUACUUUCUUUUUUAUGUAGUUUUUCAUGCUCGGAGAAUCAAGAGGAUCUACAAUUAAAACUGAUAGCUAAUUGAUGGAGAUCAAAAGCAUAUCUUAAGAGUGAUUCAACUAGAUACAACAAAUCAAUUGACUCAGGAUGAGUAAUGAAAGAAUUUAAAACAUUGGUUGAUUCUUACAAAAUCAAAGAUGAAGAAAAUCCAAUGCCUCGACCUUCAUACCCAUUUGUGGAGUUGGAUUUCUACGAAAUCUUUUGCUUAUAUAUUUUUUUUUAUCAUAUCAAUUAGCAAUGUUGACUGUGAGAUCAAAAAAAAAUUAUGACCGAUAAUUAUGUCGGAAGCUUCUUUAUUCAAAAAUUGUAUUCAGUAUUUAAUAUUAUUUUCGCUAUUUGAAAAAGCUAUAAAAAAUAGAAAAAAGUUUUAUAUUAAUACAAACUAUUAUGAA